AUCCCUAGAGCUUCGAGCUCUCUAAAGGGUUGUUCUAGACUAGAACGUUGAUAGGCAGGGUGUGUAAGCGCUGUGAGGCGUUGAGCUAACCUGUACUAAUUGCCCGUGAGGCUUAACCAUACAACACCCAAG
This 132-nucleotide ribosomal RNA is filed under the name Salinivibrio sp. IB870. RNAcentral's name for it is "partial 23S ribosomal RNA". It matches the Rfam family "Bacterial large subunit ribosomal RNA", at positions 2810 to 2925 of the family's 2925-position model. The record is from RNAcentral. RNAcentral also lists the same sequence under 1 other name. Lineage: Bacteria; Pseudomonadati; Pseudomonadota; Gammaproteobacteria; Vibrionales; Vibrionaceae.